RNAcentral lists this ribosomal RNA (305 nucleotides) under uncultured bacterium. Its description in RNAcentral is "bacterial SSU rRNA". It matches the Rfam family "Bacterial small subunit ribosomal RNA", at positions 338 to 660 of the family's 1533-position model. The record is from RNAcentral.
CCUACGGGGGGCAGCAGUGGGGGAUAUUGCACAAUGGGGGAAACCCUGAUGCAGCGACGCCGCGUGAGCGAUGAAGUAUUUCGGUAUGUAAAGCUCUAUCAGCAGGGAAGAAAAUGACGGUACCUGACUAAGAAGCCCCGGCUAACUACGUGCCAGCAGCCGCGGUAAUACGUAGGGGGCAAGCGUUAUCCGGAUUUACUGGGUGUAAAGGGAGCGUAGACGGCAGGGCAAGUCUGGAGUGAAAGGCAGGGGCCCAACCCCUGGACUGCUCUGGAAACUGUCUGGCCGGAGUGCAGGAGAGGUAA